UUAUUAUCACGAGUAGUUCCGAAGAAAGGAGUUGUAGUGAAGGAGUGGAUACAACUGAUCUAAGUGCUAUUGAAUCUGCAAUUGGUCCAUGGACAAAGCUUGUCUGGCUAGAGAGUCCAACAAACCCUCGCUUAUAGAUUUCUGAUAUUCGCAAAAUUGCUGA
Telopea speciosissima is the source of this 163-nucleotide long non-coding RNA. RefSeq lists it as uncharacterized. The transcript is spliced from 3 exons. Lineage: Eukaryota; Viridiplantae; Streptophyta; Magnoliopsida; Proteales; Proteaceae. The record is from RefSeq and is a predicted model, not a curated record.